GCGGGAGUAGCUCAAUUGGCUAGAGCAUCAGCCUUCCAAGCUGAGGGUUACGGGUUCGAUCCCCGCCUCCCGCU
RNAcentral lists this transfer RNA (74 nucleotides) under bacterium. Its description in RNAcentral is "tRNA-Gly". It matches the Rfam family "tRNA". Rfam says of the family: Transfer RNA (tRNA) molecules are approximately 80 nucleotides in length. Their secondary structure includes four short double-helical elements and three loops (D, anti-codon, and T loops). Further hydrogen bonds mediate the characteristic L-shaped molecular structure. tRNAs have two regions of fundamental functional importance: the anti-codon, which is responsible for specific mRNA codon recognition, and the 3' end, to which the tRNAs corresponding amino acid is attached (by aminoacyl-tRNA synthetases). tRNAs cope with the degeneracy of the genetic code in two manners: having more than one tRNA (with a specific anti-codon) for a particular amino acid; and 'wobble' base-pairing, i.e. permitting non-standard base-pairing at the 3rd anti-codon position. The record is from RNAcentral. RNAcentral also lists the same sequence under 2 other names.